AUCAUGACUUGAAGUAAUAUGCAAUCAACACCGAACAGCGAUUAAAAAUUUCGAUUCUUAGAUCGUAGUAAAUUUUAAUGGCAGUGAUACUGCACAGCACACAUACCAUACAACGACCAACCUUUUAACUUUUUCAUAACAAUUGACGGUGAUGCAAACUUUUCUUAUCUUUUUAUCGUAAAAUUGUCGGUAUGCGAUUUUUGUUGUCGUUUUAAGUAUAUAUCUGUGAUUCACGAAAAUUUCACAACUUAAAACCUCCCCGAUAAAGUUCAUUACUUAAAGUAAAGCGUUUUAUGUGCCAGCUAACAAUUUGAAAAUUGGGUAAAAGUUACAAUAGCAACGUAGUAUUUUGUGUGUUAUCAAACGGAGAAUUUUGUGGGAAUACGGAGAAUGUCUGUGUGUACGUAACAAAGUGAAUUGCAAAAAGUAAGAAGCAUUCCUUGGUAUGUGCUGAAUUAUUUUUUUUUUUGCGUUUGAUAAUAAAACUUAAACAUUUGGUUGGAAAAGUUAACGAUUCAAGAGAAGAAUAAGA
Molecule: long non-coding RNA, 532 nt
Organism: Bradysia coprophila
Lineage: Eukaryota; Metazoa; Arthropoda; Insecta; Diptera; Sciaridae
Source: RefSeq, a predicted model, not a curated record